UGGGAUAAAUACAAAACCUGGAAGUCUUGAACAUGCUGUGUGAGAAUACCACAGACCAGCUGUAUCCCCCAAGCCAAUGAAGGUGUUGCUCUCCAGUUCUGCCUAUGCUCUUAGUUGUGGCCUGGCUCAGAGCCACAUCCUGGCAAGCAGGAGACCUGCACAACCCCAUGCCAAAUCAGAGUCACCGGUCCUUACUUUCUGUGUCAAAGACCUGACUAUACUUGCAGGUUCCCUCAAGACAAGUAGAGAGUAACAAAUCCCCAAAGGCUCAGGCUGCCUCUGUUCUCCUGACACCAUCUUGAAGAUCUUGUUUUAGGACCUAAUCAGUUGCUUGGAAUCUCUGGUAAUCUGUUUGGUACAGGAAAUGAAAGAGACCCUGAACAUGGGGAAUCCAGCCUGGCUGCAAGAUGUGCCCAAGGAGCCAGUCUCUGUUGAACAGUACACAGCAGCUGUGCCCGUGUUUAUCAGAAACUCCAGGGAGCUGGAAGAGAGACUUCAGACCCAAUUGUGACUUCCCAAAGCUGAGAACAGGAGACCCCAUGAACAGCAAAAACACCACCUAAGAUGAUCACUAUGAAGCUGCUUGCCCCCUUCUGUCCUCACAGGGAAUCGUACAGCCCAGGCUCUUCUUGAAGAUGCUCUAAAGCUGAGGCUGGGCUUCAACACCCCAUCCUCCUGUGUCUACCUCCUGAGAGCUUGGAUUAGUGGCCACAGAGAAAGCACACAAAUGAAUGACUCCCCACAAAAAAGGAAGAAAAACAAUGAAGAAAUGUUUUGAAAAUGAAAA
This is a long non-coding RNA of Peromyscus maniculatus bairdii (prairie deer mouse), 787 nucleotides long. RefSeq lists it as uncharacterized. NCBI's taxonomy places the organism in Eukaryota, Metazoa, Chordata, Mammalia, Rodentia, Cricetidae. The record is from RefSeq and is a predicted model, not a curated record.